UGGGGAAUAUUGGACAAUGGGCGAAAGCCUGAUCCAGCCAUGCCGCGUGAGUGAUGAAGGCCCUAGGGUUGUAAAGCUCUUUUGUGCGGGAAGAUAAUGACGGUACCGCAAGAAUAAGCCCCGGCUAACUUCGUGCCAGCAGCCGCGGUAAUACGAAGGGGGCUAGCGUUGCUCGGAAUCACUGGGCGUAAAGGGUGCGUAGGCGGGUUUCUAAGUCAGAGGUGAAAGCCUGGAGCUCAACUCCAGAACUGCCUUUGAUACUGGAAGUCUUGAGUUCGGGAGAGGUGAGUGGAACUGCGAGUGUAGAGGUGAAAUUCGUAGAUAUUCGCAAGAACACCAGUGGCGAAGGCGGCUCACUGACUCGAUACUGACGCUGAGGCACGAAAGCGUGGGGAGCAAACA
Molecule: ribosomal RNA, 402 nt
Filed under: uncultured bacterium
Lineage: Bacteria
Description: bacterial SSU rRNA
Rfam family: Bacterial small subunit ribosomal RNA
Source: RNAcentral